CAAGUAUUAAAGGUCCUGCCUGCCCAGUGAUAACACAUUCAACGGCCGCGGUAUCCUGACCGUGCAAAGGUAGCGUAAUCACUUGCCCCCUAAUUAGAGGCCCGUAUGAACGGCUAAAUGAGGGCCCACCUGUCUCUUGUGGCAAAAUAAUGAAACUGAUCUCCUAGUACAAAAGCUAGAAUAAACACAUAAGACGAGAAGACCCUGUGGAGCUUUUAAACACCGUUGCUACACCAACGUGCACUAGCGACAACUUUUAGUUGGGGCAACUACGGAGCAAACAAAACCUCCACGCUAACAACUAAUUCUUAACCCAGGCCAACAUGCCAAAACCAAAAAGACCCAGCACAGCUGACCACCGAACCAAGUUACCCCAGGGAUAACAGCGCAAUCCUCUUCUAGAGCCCCUAUCGCAAAGAGGGCUUACGACCUCGAUGUUGGAUCAGGACACCCCAGUGGCGAAGCCGCUACUAAAGGCCCGUUUGUUCAACGGUUAAU
RNAcentral lists this ribosomal RNA (498 nucleotides) under Stenodactylus mauritanicus. Its description in RNAcentral is "partial 16S ribosomal RNA". It matches the Rfam family "Bacterial large subunit ribosomal RNA", at positions 1840 to 2592 of the family's 2925-position model. Lineage: Eukaryota; Metazoa; Chordata; Lepidosauria; Squamata; Gekkonidae. The record is from RNAcentral.